CGGUAAUACAGAGGGUGCAAGCGUUAAUCGGAAUUACUGGGCGUAAAGCGCGCGUAGGUGGUUUGUUAAGUUGGAUGUGAAAUCCCCGGGCUCAACCUGGGAACUGCAUUCAAAACUGACUGACUAGAGUAUGGUAGAGGGUGGUGGAAUUUCCUGUGUAGCGGUGAAAUGCGUAGAUAUAGGAAGGAACACCAGUGGCGAAGGCGACCACCUGGACUAAUACUGAC
RNAcentral lists this ribosomal RNA (227 nucleotides) under uncultured Pseudomonas sp. Its description in RNAcentral is "partial 16S ribosomal RNA". It matches the Rfam family "Bacterial small subunit ribosomal RNA", at positions 518 to 744 of the family's 1533-position model. Lineage: Bacteria; Pseudomonadati; Pseudomonadota; Gammaproteobacteria; Pseudomonadales; Pseudomonadaceae. The record is from RNAcentral.